Molecule: ribosomal RNA, 506 nt
Filed under: uncultured bacterium
Lineage: Bacteria
Description: bacterial SSU rRNA
Rfam family: Bacterial small subunit ribosomal RNA
Source: RNAcentral
GGCGGCAUGCCUUACACAUGCAAGUCGAACGGUAACAGGUCUUCGGAUGCUGACGAGUGGCGAACGGGUGAGUAAUACAUCGGAACGUGCCCGAUCGUGGGGGAUAACGGAGCGAAAGCUUUGCUAAUACCGCAUACGAUCUACGGAUGAAAGCAGGGGACCGCAAGGCCUUGCGCGGACGGAGCGGCCGAUGGCAGAUUAGGUAGUUGGUGGGAUAAAAGCUUACCAAGCCGACGAUCUGUAGCUGGUCUGAGAGGACGACCAGCCACACUGGGACUGAGACACGGCCCAGACUCCUACGGGAGGCAGCAGUGGGGAAUUUUGGACAAUGGGCGCAAGCCUGAUCCAGCCAUGCCGCGUGCAGGAUGAAGGCCUUCGGGUUGUAAACUGCUUUUGUACGGAACGAAGAGACUCUGGUUAAUACCUGGGGUCCAUGACGGUACCGUAAGAAUAAGCACCGGCUAACUACGUGCCAGCAGCCGCGGUAAUACGUAGGGUGCAAGCGU